ACCAUCCUUCUCUUGGGGUAGCGCUACUGUCCAAUGAAUGAGUAGUGAGGGCAGUACUGCUAACGCCUACACAACACGCCCGCAUCAAAAAUAAAUAAAUUAAAAA
Molecule: non-coding RNA, 106 nt
Filed under: Microcebus murinus (gray mouse lemur)
Lineage: Eukaryota; Metazoa; Chordata; Mammalia; Primates; Cheirogaleidae
Description: U4atac minor spliceosomal RNA (ENSMICG00000021325.3)
Rfam family: U4atac minor spliceosomal RNA
About the family: U4atac is an essential component of the minor U12-type spliceosome complex which is required for removal of the rarer class of eukaryotic introns (AT-AC, U12-type). These interacting stem loops have been shown to be required for in vivo splicing. U4atac also contains an 3' Sm protein binding site which has been shown to be essential for splicing activity.
Source: Rfam by way of RNAcentral